This 437-nucleotide ribosomal RNA is filed under the name uncultured Pseudorhodobacter sp. RNAcentral describes it as "bacterial SSU rRNA". It matches the Rfam family "Bacterial small subunit ribosomal RNA", at positions 8 to 489 of the family's 1533-position model. The record is from RNAcentral. Lineage: Bacteria; Pseudomonadati; Pseudomonadota; Alphaproteobacteria; Rhodobacterales; Paracoccaceae.
AGAGUUUGAUCCUGGCUCAGAAUGAACGCUGGCGGCAGGCCUAACACAUGCAAGUCGAACGGGUGUCUUCGGGCACUAGUGGCGGACGGGUGAGUAACGCGUGGGAACAUACCCAAAGGUACGGAAUAGCCUCGGGAAACUGAGAGUAAUACCGUAUGUGCCCUUCGGGGGAAAGAUUUAUCGCCUUUGGAUUGGCCCGCGUUGGAUUAGGUAGUUGGUGGGGUAAUGGCCUACCAAGCCGACGAUCCAUAGCUGGUUUGAGAGGAUGAUCAGCCACACUGGGACUGAGACACGGCCCAGACUCCUACGGGAGGCAGCAGUGGGGAAUCUUAGACAAUGGGGGAAACCCUGAUCUAGCCAUGCCGCGUGAUCGAUGAAGGCCUUAGGGUUGUAAAGAUCUUUCAGAUGGGAAGAUAAUGACGGUACCAUCAGAAGAA